RNAcentral lists this non-coding RNA (190 nucleotides) under Bacillus sp. (in: firmicutes). The record is from RNAcentral. RNAcentral also lists the same sequence under 1 other name. Lineage: Bacteria; Bacillati; Bacillota; Bacilli; Caryophanales; Bacillaceae.
AUUGAAUAACAAGAGGAGAGUGCCCGGAGAGUCAAUCCCCGGGAUAAUAGGGAAAUCGGUGAAAGUCCGAUGCAGCCCCCGCUACUGUAAACGGUGAUGAAAUUGUCAACAGCCACUGGCGUAAGGCCGGGAAGGGACAAGAGUAAGGCGAUCCGUAAGCCAGGAGACCUGCUUUCUUCUUCGAACCAUC